CAAGAUGGAUUUGACAUAAGUGGUAUCGGUUUGACUUGGGUUGUCUUCAGGAGUGAACCGGACUUUACCACCUUUGAUGUCGGUGAUAUGAACGUAACCGGCGGUUCCUGGAGCUUCACCGGUGGCUUGAUACAUGGUGGCGGUGGAGGUGGAGCCUUUGGUGACUUGGUGGAGCUUUUUGGAGCCGAAGUAGUCGGCGAAGACAUGGAGGGAGAGGACAUUCUUUAUGGUCUGAAUUGAUAGUCCUUUUGAAAGUAAUGAAGACAUGGCGGCAUUGUCGACGGCGCAGACGGUGAUUGUCUGCCGGCGGUUGAUCUCAUUGGCGAG
RNAcentral lists this long non-coding RNA (327 nucleotides) under Lactuca sativa (garden lettuce). RNAcentral's name for it is "long non-coding RNA (LSAT_LNC009789)". Lineage: Eukaryota; Viridiplantae; Streptophyta; Magnoliopsida; Asterales; Asteraceae. The record is from RNAcentral.